Tachysurus vachellii is the source of this 2341-nucleotide RNA transcript. It is a transcript of the gene named trafficking protein particle complex subunit 5-like, with no coding region annotated. The record is from RefSeq and is a predicted model, not a curated record. The transcript is spliced from 3 exons. Lineage: Eukaryota; Metazoa; Chordata; Actinopteri; Siluriformes; Bagridae.
UUCUCCGUGUUAUUGUUGUUGUUUACAGGAUCAUGGAUUUUGUUGUUGUUUACAGGAUUACGGAUGUUGUUGUUGUUUACAGUAUCACGGAUGUUGUUGUCUACAGGAUCAUGGAUGUUGUUGUUGUUUACAGGAUCCUGGAUGUUGUUGUUUACAGGAUCAUGGAUGAUGUUGUUUACAGGAUCACAGAUGUUGUUGUUUACAGGAUCAUGGAUGUUGUUAUUGUUUACAGUAUCACAGGUGUUGUUGUUUACAGGAUCAUGGAUGUUGUUGUUUACAGGAUCACGGAUGUUGUUGUUGUUUACAGGAUCAAAGUUGUUGUUGUUUACAGGAUCACGGUUGUUGUUGUUUACAGUAUCACGGAUGUUGUUGUUGUUUACAGGAUCAUGGUUGUUGUUUACAGUAUCACGGAUGUUGUUGUUUACAGUAUCACAGUUGUUGUUGUUUACAGGAUCACGGACGUUAGUGUUGUUGUUUACAGGAUCACGGAUGUUGUUGUUUACAGGAUCACGGUUGUUGUUGUUUACAGUAUGACGGAUGUUGUUGUUGUUUACAGGAUCAUGGAUACCCGCUUCACCAAAGGGAAGUGUUUAGUGCUGGAGCGCUCUCUGUCUCGGCCCAGGACGGAGGCGCGUCUGGGAGACAUGGGCCGGGGAGUGGGAGCGUCUCUGCUGGACCUGCUGGUGCUGCGGGAGAAGAACGGAAAGAGGGAGACCAAAGUGCUGAACAUCCUCCUCUUCAUCAAGGCACAGCUUUCUAUCACACUGUCUGAAUUCCGCUUCAUACACACUUCAUGCACACAUCAUACACACUUAAACACACUUCAUACACACUUCAUGCACACAUCAUACACACUUCAUGCACACAUCAUACACACUUCAUACACACUUCAUGCACACAUCAUACACACUUCAUACACACUUCAUGCACACAUCAUACACACUUAUACCCACUUCAUGCACACAUCAUACACACUUAAACACACUUCAUACACACUUCAUGCACACAUCAUACACACAUCAUACACACUUCAUACACACUUCAUGCACACAUCAUACACACUUAUACCCACUUCAUGCACACAUCAUACACACUUAUACCCACUUCAUGCACACAUCAUACACACUUAAACACACUUCAUACACACUUCAUGCACACAUCAUACACACUUCAUGCACACAUCAUACACACUUCAUACACACUUCAUGCACACAUCAUACACACUUAUACCCACUCCAUGCACACAUCAUACAGACUUAUACACACUUCAUACACACUUCAUGCACACAUCAUACACACUUAUACCCACUCCAUGCACACAUCAUACAGACUUAUACACACUUCAUACACACUUCAUGCACACAUCAUACACACUUCAUGCACACAUCAUACACACUUAUACCCACUCCAUGCACACAUCAUACAGACUUAUACACACUUCAUACACACUUCAUGCACACAUCAUACACACUUCAUGCACACAUCAUACACACUUAUACCCACUUCAUGCACACAUCAUGCACACUUAUACACACUUUAUACACAUUUCAUACACACUUCAUGCACACUUCAUGCACACAUCAUACACACUUACAUGUAUACACACUUCAUAGACACUUUAUACACACUUCCUACACACUUAUACACACUUCAUACACACAUCAUACACACGUAUACACACUUCAUACACACUUCAUACACACUUUAUACACACUUCAUAAACUCUACUGUACACUUCAGGAGUCACUUAGUAUAGUUUACAUUCACAUUUACAGCAUUUAGCAAACUCCUUUAUCCAGAGUGACUUACAUUUUUUAUUUCAAUUUCUACAACUGAGCAUUUGAGGGUCAACGUCCUUGCUGAGGGGCCCAGAAGUGGCACUUUGCUGGCCCUGGGAUUCGAACUCACAACCUUUCAAUCAGUAGUCCCACAUCCCUGUUCAAGGUUCAAGAAUUACUUUAAUACAGAGAAGCUAUUUUCAAACGACGGUUGAAGACCUUCUUAUUCAUGAAACACUUCAACUAGAACUUCCUUCCCUGUUUGUUGUAGGUUUAUUAAAAAAAAAACUGUGAACAGUGAUUUAGACUCAUAGUAUCUUAAGUCUGUAACCUAGUGAACCAGAGUUAAUGUAUCCAGUGAUAGAGACUUAAGCACUUCUGUACAUUGCUCUGGAUAAGAGAGUCCGUCACAUGCUGUAAAUGUAAAGGUGUCCGUGUGGAAGUCUCUGUUCAGUAAGGAAGCAGACAAGCUGGAGCAGGCCAACGAUGACGACAAGACCUACUACAUCAUAGAGAAGGAGCCGCUGGUGAACACGUUUAUAUCUGUGCCUAAAGAGAACAGC